GUACACAAAAAUGCACAUGCUGUGAGCUCGAUGAGUAGGGCGGGACACGUGGUAUCCUGUCUGAAUAUGGGGGGACCAUCCUCCAAGGCUAAAUACUCCUGACUGACCGAUAGUGAACCAGUACCGUGAGGGAAAGGCGAAAAGAACCCCGGCGAGGGGAGUGAAAAAGAACCUGAAACCGUGUACGUACAAGCAGUGGGAGCACGCUUAGGCGUGUGACUGCGUACCUUUUGUAUAAUGGGUCAGCGACUUAUAUUCUGUAGCAAGGUUAACCGAAUAGGGGAGCCGAAGGGAAACCGAGUCUUAACUGGGCGUUAAGUUGCAGGGUAUAGACCCGAAACCCGGUGAUCUAGCCAUGGGCAGGUUGAAGGUUGGGUAACACUAACUGGAGGACCGAACCGACUAA
This 406-nucleotide ribosomal RNA is filed under the name Escherichia coli. RNAcentral's name for it is "partial 23S ribosomal RNA". It matches the Rfam family "Bacterial large subunit ribosomal RNA", at positions 375 to 786 of the family's 2925-position model. The record is from RNAcentral. Lineage: Bacteria; Pseudomonadati; Pseudomonadota; Gammaproteobacteria; Enterobacterales; Enterobacteriaceae.